RNAcentral lists this transfer RNA (82 nucleotides) under bacterium. RNAcentral's name for it is "tRNA-Leu". It matches the Rfam family "tRNA". Rfam says of the family: Transfer RNA (tRNA) molecules are approximately 80 nucleotides in length. The record is from RNAcentral.
GAGCGAGUGGCGGAAUUGGCAGACGCGCUGGGUUUAGGACCCAGUGGGGAAACCCUUGGAGGUUCGACUCCUCUCUCGCUCA